CGACCAUCUGCAGCCCUCCUGCCCCCUGACAUCUGGAGACGGGCUGAGACACAACGACAACAACACACACACAUGCAGUCUUUACUGUAGUGAAAGAUGUGCAGCAGAAAGGAGAAGGAAUGAGGGAUGAUGUCAUGUUCAAAAAGUCUCAUAUUCGCAUUCACUGAAUCCGUCCAGGAUACUCCUACGGUGUGUUUCCAUUCACCAGAGCUGCUCUGCUGGCAAACUCUGCUGUUUAACUGUGUGGCUGCAACAAAGUGUGCAAAGGUCCAUGUGUGAAAUUAAAGUUGUUGAUGUGGAACACCAUGACUUCAGAAAGCAUCUUCUACCUCACCAUGC
Sebastes umbrosus (honeycomb rockfish) is the source of this 339-nucleotide long non-coding RNA. RefSeq lists it as uncharacterized. The record is from RefSeq and is a predicted model, not a curated record. NCBI's taxonomy places the organism in Eukaryota, Metazoa, Chordata, Actinopteri, Perciformes, Sebastidae. The transcript is spliced from 3 exons.